CCUACGGGGGGCAGCAGUGGGGGAUAUUGCACAAUGGGGGGAACCCUGAUGCAGCGACGCCGCGUGGGUGAAGAAGCGCCUCGGCGCGUAAAGCCCUGUCAGCAGGGAAGAAAAUGCCGGUACCUGAAGAAGACGCCCCGGCUAACUACGUGCCAGCAGCCGCGGUAAGACGGAGGGGGCAAGCGUUAUCCGGAUUUACUGGGUGUAAAGGGGGCGCAGACGGCGGUGCAAGCCAGGAGUGAAAGCCCGGGGCGCAACCCCGGGACUGCGCUUGGAACUGCGUGGCUGGAGUGCAGGAGGGGCAGGCGGAAUGCCUGGUGUAGCGGUGAAAUGCGUAGAGAUCAGGAGGAACACCGGUGGCGAAGGCGGCCUGCUGGACUGCAACUGACGUUGAGGCCCGAAAGCGUGGGGAGCAAACAGGAUUAGAUACCCUAGUAGUC
RNAcentral lists this ribosomal RNA (440 nucleotides) under uncultured bacterium. RNAcentral's name for it is "partial 16S ribosomal RNA". It matches the Rfam family "Bacterial small subunit ribosomal RNA", at positions 338 to 795 of the family's 1533-position model. The record is from RNAcentral.